RNAcentral lists this ribosomal RNA (252 nucleotides) under uncultured bacterium. Its description in RNAcentral is "partial 16S ribosomal RNA". It matches the Rfam family "Bacterial small subunit ribosomal RNA", at positions 524 to 776 of the family's 1533-position model. The record is from RNAcentral.
UACGUAGGUGGCGAGCGUUGUCCGGAAUUAUUGGGCGUAAAGGGAGCGCAGGUGGGAAAGUAAGUCUGUCUUAAAAGUGCGGGGCUCAACCCCGUGAGGGGGCGGAAACUAUUUUUCUUGAGUGCAGGAGAGGAAAGCGGAAUUCCUAGUGUAGCGGUGAAAUGCGUAGAUAUUAGGAGGAACACCAGUGGCGAAGGCGGCUUUCUGGACUGUAACUGACACUGAGGCUCGAAAGCCAGGGGAGCGAACGGG